UGAUCAAUAGCAUAAGCUAGCCUUUCUUUCCUCAGGAUGUUGUUGAAGUGAAACCAUUCAUCAAGGUUCCUCUCCCAUCUAAGAUAACCUCUUUUUCCUGAAAAUUUAAAGAGUUCAAUUUUAUCAGCAAAAGAGUUAUAAUCAAACCGAGAAUUAACAACAUGAUUGUUGUGGGUUUUAGAAGUUGGAGUUUGAUUGAUCCUUGAAGGAUCUGGUGGCUUGGGCUUGACAUAUACAGCCCCUGGUACAUC
RNAcentral lists this long non-coding RNA (251 nucleotides) under Brassica napus (rape). RNAcentral's name for it is "long non-coding RNA (BNAP_LNC012839)". Lineage: Eukaryota; Viridiplantae; Streptophyta; Magnoliopsida; Brassicales; Brassicaceae. The record is from RNAcentral.